RNAcentral lists this ribosomal RNA (514 nucleotides) under uncultured bacterium. RNAcentral's name for it is "partial 16S ribosomal RNA". It matches the Rfam family "Bacterial small subunit ribosomal RNA", at positions 28 to 523 of the family's 1533-position model. The record is from RNAcentral.
GAUGAACGCUGGCGGCGUGCCUAAUACAUGCAAGUCGAGCGAAUGGAUUAAGAGCUUGCUCUUAUGAAGUUAGCGGCGGACGGGUGAGUAACACGUGGUAACCUGCCCAUAAGACUGGGAUAACUCCGGGAAACCGGGGCUAAUACCGGAUAACAUUUUGAACCGCAUGGUUCGAAAUUGAAAGGCGGCUUCGGCUGUCACUUAUGGAUGGACACGCGUCGCAUUAGCUAGUUGGUGAGGUAACGGCUCACCAAGGCAACGAUGCGUAGCCGACCUGAGAGGGUGAUCGGCCACCCUGGGACUGAGACACGGCCCAGACUCCUACGGGGGGCAGCAGUAGGGAAUCUUCCGCAAUGGACGAAAGUCUGACGGAGCAACGCCGCGUGAGUGAUGAAGGCUUUCGGGUCGUAAAACUCUGUUGUUAGGGAAGAACAAGUGCUAGUUGAAUAAGCUGGCACCUUGACGGUACCUAACCAGAAAGCCACGGCUAACUACGUGCCAGCAGCCGCAGUAA